GAUGAACGCUGGCGGCGUGCCUAAUACAUGCAAGUCGAGCGACCAGACGAGGAGCUUGCUCCUCUGACGUUAGCGGCGGACGGGUGAGUAACACGUGGAUAACCUCCCUAUAAGACUGGGAUAACUUCGGGAAACCGGAGCUAAUACCGGAUAAUAUAUUGAACCACAUGGUUCAAUAGUGAAAGACGGUUUUGCUGUCACUUAUAGAUGGAUCCGCGCCGCAUUAGCUAGUUGGUAACGUAACGGCUUACCACGGCAACGAUGCGUAGCCGACCUGAGAGGGUGAUCGCCCACCCUGGAAGUGAGACACGGUCCAGACUCCUACGGGAGGCAGCAGUAGGGAAUCUUACGCGAUGGGCGAAAGCCUGAUGGAGCAACGCCGCGGGAGUGAUGAUGGUCUUCCGAUCGGAAAACGCUGUUAGUAGGGAAGAACAAAUGUGUAAGUAACUAUGCACGUCUUGACGGUACCUAAUCAGAAAGCCACGGCUAACUACGUG
This 497-nucleotide ribosomal RNA is filed under the name uncultured bacterium. Its description in RNAcentral is "partial 16S ribosomal RNA". It matches the Rfam family "Bacterial small subunit ribosomal RNA", at positions 28 to 507 of the family's 1533-position model. The record is from RNAcentral.